GAUGAACGCUAGCUACAGGCUUAACACAUGCAAGUCGAGGGGAAACGAUAUUGGAAGCUUGCUUCCGAUAGGCGUCGACCGGCGCACGGGUGAGCAACGCGUAUCCAACCUGCCCACCACUUGGGGAUAACCUUGCGAAAGUAAGACUAAUACCCAAUGAUAUCUCUAGAAGACAUCUGAAGGAGAUUAAAGAUUUAUCGGUGAUGGAUGGGGAUGCGUCUGAUUAGCUUGUUGGCGGGGUAACGGCCCACCAAGGCUACGAUCAGUAGGGGUUCUGAGAGGAAGGUCCCCCACAUUGGAACUGAGACACGGUCCAAACUCCUACGGGAGGCAGCAGUGAGGAAUAUUGGUCAAUGGGCGAGAGCCUGAACCAGCCAAGUAGCGUGCAGGAUGACGGCCCUAUGGGUUGUAAACUGCUUUUAUAAGGGAAUAAAGUGAGUCUCGUGAGGCUUUUUGCAUGUACCUUAUGAAUAAGGACCGGCUAAUUCCGUGCCAGCAGCCGCGGUAAUACGGAAGGUCCGGGCGUUAUCCGGAUUUAUUGGGUUUAAAGGGAGCGUAGGCCGGAGAUUAAGCGUGUUGUGAAAUGUAGAUGCUCAACAUCUGCACUGCAGCGCGAACUGGUUUCCUUGAGUACGCACAAAGUGGGCGGAAUUCGUGGUGUAGCGGUGAAAUGCUUAGAUAUCACGAAGAACUCCGAUUGCGAAGGCAGCUCACUGGAGCGCAACUGACGCUGAAGCUCGAAAGUGCGGGUAUCGAACAGGAUUAGAUACCCUGGUAGUCCGCACGGUAAACGAUGGAUGCCCGCUGUUGGUCUGAAUAGGUCAGCGGCCAAGCGAAAGCAUUAAGCAUCCCACCUGGGGAGUACGCCGGCAACGGUGAAACUCAAAUGAAUUGACGG
RNAcentral lists this ribosomal RNA (898 nucleotides) under uncultured bacterium. RNAcentral describes it as "bacterial SSU rRNA". It matches the Rfam family "Bacterial small subunit ribosomal RNA", at positions 28 to 916 of the family's 1533-position model. The record is from RNAcentral.